AGGCCCUAAAGUCAGAGAACCAGACACAGGAGGAAGAAGAAACUUCAGAGAGGUGAAGCAUGGGCCAGUGCUUGAGAAAAGCAUUAACUGAUGCCAGGCAGAAGCGAGUAUAAAGUCACCAAGGGACUAAGUGACCUGAAGUGCAAUCAGAGGAACACAACCGAGUUCCCUUGCUCUCGACUAAACAAGGGCUCUUCACCAGCCCAGAAAAGUUCCACUUUGGUUUUACAGUCGUGAAAGCAUCGGUGCAUUUCCAGACAGGGGAGCCAUAAGAUUCAGCAAAAUGGGGAAAAUGCGAUUGUGAGGAUGAGAUGGGACAAUGUGCCUGAAGCUUAUGGCACACAGUAGGCAUUCAAUAAAUGAUGCUCCC
Molecule: long non-coding RNA, 370 nt
Filed under: Homo sapiens (human)
Lineage: Eukaryota; Metazoa; Chordata; Mammalia; Primates; Hominidae
Description: HSALNT0378983
Source: RNAcentral